AGUUUGGUGGUUUUGAAUCUUGCUUCGUUCUUCUGCCGCUAGAUUUCUUUUUCUUCUUCAUUUUUAAAUAUUUUUUUGUGGGAGGUGGGUCGGAUGAAGUUCUGGAAUUUUUAUUCUUCGGCUUCAAAGAAUAUAAGAAGUGGACUCAGCUCAAUUAAGUUAAAUAUUUUAUGAUUCAUUACUGAUUAUGUUAUUACUAGAGCUUUUAUGUAAUUAUGCGUGAUGGGCAUUCUAGUUUCCUGU
RNAcentral lists this unclassified non-coding RNA (243 nucleotides) under Hevea brasiliensis (rubber tree). The record is from RNAcentral. Lineage: Eukaryota; Viridiplantae; Streptophyta; Magnoliopsida; Malpighiales; Euphorbiaceae.